AAAGAUAUAUAAAAUCUAGUAAAUCUAUUCCUCUCUCUCUCUCUCUCUCUCUCUCUCUCUCUCUCUCUCUCUCUCUUAGUCGAUCAGUUAAAGUCAACUUUUUCGAUAUAAAAAUAAUAAUUCUAUCAUAUUUAUUUUCAAUUUUAAUAUUUCUAUUCGAUUUUUUAUUAUAUUUUUUGCGAAUCUCAAAUUGACAAUAAAUUUAUAUUUCUCUUUUUUUUUUUUGUUUU
Molecule: long non-coding RNA, 230 nt
Filed under: Ananas comosus (pineapple)
Lineage: Eukaryota; Viridiplantae; Streptophyta; Magnoliopsida; Poales; Bromeliaceae
Description: long non-coding RNA (ACOM_LNC038534)
Source: RNAcentral